Molecule: long non-coding RNA, 1057 nt
Organism: Cyprinodon tularosa
Lineage: Eukaryota; Metazoa; Chordata; Actinopteri; Cyprinodontiformes; Cyprinodontidae
Exons: 3
Source: RefSeq, a predicted model, not a curated record
AGGUUCACACCUGCACCAGAGCAAAAGAUAAAGUCCAAAAACAUCCUAUUGCAAUGACAAACCCAACUGAUUAAAGUCUAUUUAACAUCUGUCUAUUGCAGUAAAUCAGAGCAGCUUAUUCCCCAGCAGCUGGAGGAGGAGGAGGAGGACUCACCUGCGCUGCAGCCGGAGUGAAGAAGGGAGGAAGGGUGUGAGAGUGAGAGAGGGAGGGGAGCUGGAUGUGAGUCUAUGCAGCAGGAUAGCGGCACGCCGUCUCUCCUCCUGCCUUUGUCUGCUUCAGUCUGAGAGCCGAGCCUCCCCGGAACAGCCACUGGGUCCUAAAGAGCUGCGGACCCGCCCACUGUGGAAAGGAAGCUAUGCUCUGAUAAGAAAAGGAAAGAAGAAGAAGCGGGCUAGCAGCUCUGUGUGUGAGCUCCACUGUCAGAGUCACGCAAGAGAAGAAAGCUUUGCAAAGAGACGACAGAAGACGUAGACUCUGCACGGUGGACUGGGGUCUCUUUGUCAUCAUCUGCUCUCCCCUCAGGCAGAAAAGCUUUACUUUAUAACUCAGCUGUUGUCACAUUCUGGAGCCUCUCCUUUGCAUGUCACACAUAACUCUAAUUCACUCUGAUCAUUGGCUGCUACACACCUCCCUCUGUGAGAUGAACCUCUACAGAAGAGCGAAGCACAAGCAGAGUUUACAGGGUUGUGUGCAAAUGGGGGAAGAGGCGAAGACGUUGUUAUUUUUGCUCUUAGCUGGGCUUUUUGUUUAAUGGAGACCCCCUAGAAGGGAACAAAAAAGAUCAGGAUUAUCCAGAAUCUGGUCAUACAGUAUGAUUCUUUAUUAAAUGUUGAACUUUGCUGGCUGGAGGUGCAGCCUGUUGGUUUUACUGCUUCAUAUUCAAGAGGUUGAAUCAUCACUGCUGACUAAUGAUUUUGCCUUUAGCUGCUAAAUCACAGGGUGACUGGCUCCCAUGAAGUUGUUCUAGUUGAACAGUUGAACUUUACCAUAAUACUCAGCCAAAUAUUAUUUUCUUAGCUGUGGUCAUCCCUCACGCAAUAGGCUAUGAUCUGGAGG